Molecule: ribosomal RNA, 254 nt
Filed under: uncultured bacterium
Lineage: Bacteria
Description: partial 16S ribosomal RNA
Rfam family: Bacterial small subunit ribosomal RNA
Source: RNAcentral
CACGUAGGGUGCGAGCGUUGUCCGGAAUUAUUGGGCGUAAAGAGCUCGUAGGCGGUGUGUCGCGUCGGCCGUGAAAACCUGCAGCUUAACUGUGGGCUUGCGGUCGAUACGGGCAUCACUGGAGUUCGGCAGGGGAGACUGGAAUUCCUGGUGUAGCGGUGAAAUGCGCAGAUAUCAGGAGGAACACCGAUGGCGAAGGCAGGUCUCUGGGCCACUACUGACGCUGAGAAGCGAAAGCGUGGGGAGCGAACAGG